Long non-coding RNA from Paramisgurnus dabryanus, 485 nucleotides. RefSeq lists it as uncharacterized. NCBI's taxonomy places the organism in Eukaryota, Metazoa, Chordata, Actinopteri, Cypriniformes, Cobitidae. The record is from RefSeq and is a predicted model, not a curated record.
CAUCUAGUGACGACAUUUACCGGGCUUUAACGGUUGUUGCUGCUUGAAGUCUGCUGCAAUUUCUCUGAGAUUUCUCAAGAUCAUCAGUUUGGACAGAAUUCAUUUGAAGAAUUAAUAGCACUAGCAGGUUCCAAUAAAGGCUGGAACAGAACAGACAGAAAAGAAUCUGUCAGAAGAAAUUCAACUACUGUUCGUGCACCAGAUGGUGAAGUAGAAAAGUUCGUAAAAACUUCUGCAGCUUGCAUCUGACAGAGAUGCAAAAAGAAUAAGAGAGCGGGCCUGAAAACAAGCAAAUUCAAGUCUUUCCUUCUUUUAGGGUACACUUGAGGAGUGUCCAGAUGUUUAUUAAUGUUUUAUUAAUGUAAUGUUAUGUUUCAAAUAAACAUGUAAACAUACUGUAUAUUUUUCUUUCUUUUUUAAACACCUACAGUAAAGUGUGACACUUAACACAUUAAAAGCAUCACAAACAUUGAGGAUAGAACUUC